CUUAGAUGUUUAAUGCCCAUAUACAGACAGUUUAUGCCACAAAUGAAAUCUAUGAGCUGGCAAGCUGUUUAACUCUGUGGGCUGACUGAACUCAGCUGGAUGACUCUGCUUCAAGGCAUCUGGCAGUCUGUGAAGGAAUUCAAAUGAAGAGACAUGCAAAUGGAGUAUAAUUUUGGUCGUGAGUAGGCUCCUUAGCCAAUACCAGUGGAAAUUACUAACAAACAUCCUGACAAACAGCAAAGAGCUCACAACACAAGGAAGCUGAGGACCAUACGGAGAGUGGAGGGAGGCAGUGCUGCUUCUAACCUACAAGGAGUCUAAGUCUUGGUUUUGUACACUUUCAGCCACCUGGUUUGUGGGUGAAUGAACCUUAUGAAGAUAUUGAAGCAUAAUUCACUUUCAAUGAAAUAAACAGGAGC
Molecule: long non-coding RNA, 419 nt
Organism: Heterocephalus glaber (naked mole-rat)
Lineage: Eukaryota; Metazoa; Chordata; Mammalia; Rodentia; Bathyergidae
Source: Ensembl